GUCGAGAAUAAUUCACAAUGGGGGAAACCCUGAUGGUGCAACGCCGCGUGGAGGAUGAAGGUCUUCGGAUUGUAAACUCCUGUCAUCCGGGAGCAAGACCUGGGCGUGAAUUGCGCACAGGUUUGAUAGUACCGGAAGAGGAAGGGACGGCUAACUUCGUGCCAGCAGCCGCGGUAAUACGAAGGUCCCAAGCGUUGUUCGGAAUCACUGGGCGUAAAGGGUGCGUAGGCGGCGUGGUAAGUCAGAUGUGAAAUCCCGGGGCUCAACCUCGGAACUGCAUCCGAUACUGCCAUGCUUGAGGGCUGGAGAGGUAACUGGAAUUCUCGGUGUAGCAGUGAAAUGCGUGGAUAUCGAGAGGAACACUCGUGGCGAAGGCGAGUUACUGGACAGCAUCUGACGCUGAGGCACGAAGGCCAGGGGAGCGAAAGGGAUUAGAAACCCCAGUAGUCC
This 450-nucleotide ribosomal RNA is filed under the name uncultured bacterium. RNAcentral's name for it is "partial 16S ribosomal RNA". It matches the Rfam family "Bacterial small subunit ribosomal RNA", at positions 354 to 796 of the family's 1533-position model. The record is from RNAcentral.